GAAUGUAUGGAGCAUUUUUCCUUACCCACUUUCAUUUCCACUUAGGAACCCUGCAACAGCACCAGGAAGUUCAGACUUCACAAUUAAAAGCAGAAGAUAGACUCAACCACAAAGAUCCUUACAGCAUGCAUGUUUCUACAUCACCAGAAUCUAUUAUAUUCUCUGUUUGUACUAGAAGAUGAAGAA
Molecule: long non-coding RNA, 186 nt
Organism: Calypte anna (Anna's hummingbird)
Lineage: Eukaryota; Metazoa; Chordata; Aves; Apodiformes; Trochilidae
Exons: 3
Source: RefSeq, a predicted model, not a curated record